RNAcentral lists this long non-coding RNA (754 nucleotides) under Crocodylus porosus (Australian saltwater crocodile). RNAcentral describes it as "lncRNA (ENSCPRG00005000177.1)". Lineage: Eukaryota; Metazoa; Chordata; Crocodylia; Crocodylidae. The record is from RNAcentral.
CAAAGAUCCACGUGGAGAUAUGGAGAAGAGCCUCAAAGAAGCAUGAAGCUGAGGUGCAUUGCAAAAGGUGCAGAGACAAACCUGGAGUAGCCAGGCAGUACUGAGAGGACUGCAGGCAGAGAGGCUGCAUGGAGCAGUGCAUUGGCAUGCAUGAUCUAUCUCACAUCUGGGUGAGACUCAAGGUAAUUUCCUGUGGGGUGAGGGAAGUAAGAGUGGAGGUUAAAAUAGAGCAUGCUUGAAAUAUUUAUGUAGCUUCUCCUUUCAUUUUCAGUUAUUUCACUCUCUGGUGACAGUUUGAGCCACUCCCUGUCUCUGAUAGCAGAUACCAAGAAGAAACAUGGCUGUAAUUUUAAGAAGACAUGAUUGUUUUUAAAAUCGCAUACAAAACCAGCCCCAGGAGUAGCUUGUUCCUUCUAAAUCUGGAUUUGUAGGUACACAUGGAGCAUCCGUAUCUACCAGAAAGGAGGCUUAAUGACUGCAGCAACACUGCCCAGUGUGAACCAGGUGCUGAUGGAAGGACUGAGAACUGGAUGGGCCAGGUAAGGGGUCCCUCUUAUGGACUUUUGAAUGUCAACAUUGUUACCUACAUCACUGCUCAUCCAUGCAAAUAAGAAAGGAAAAAUACAUUGCAGAGAUUUACAGCAGUUUGAGGCAUGCCACUGUGAAGUGCUAGCUCUGGAUAGGUAAGAGAUGGAUAUAUUACAGCAGAGGCGUGUAAAAACACAAAGUGGGGCUGGAAAGGGUUUUCAAAUUU